AAUGAAUCUUAAUUUGCCACCAAAAUAAUUAACUUCAACUAGAAGCAAUAUCCACAGUGCCUGAUAUCAAGUUAAACUUUCAAAAUAAUUAUAUUGCACGAUAAUAUCUCAUGAUUAAUAUUCCUUCACUUAAUUUAGUCUAAAUCUAAUUAAUCAUAACUUGAAAUACAAAUUGCUCUACCAAGAAAACUCUCAGAGUAGCUCAUUCACACUUCGGUUACAACCAUAAUUAGGUUGCAUUCUAAUUUUAGCAUUUCAAAAUUAUGAUAAAAUAACUCAAAUUUAUCAAUAACAAAAGCAAAUAAAUGCCUUCAUCUAAUGGCCUAAUGUCUACCCAUCUCUCAAACUUUCUGACGAAUCCUAAAGAUCCUAAAACUUAAGCUCCAUCUGACUAUUUCAAA
Molecule: long non-coding RNA, 401 nt
Filed under: Phoenix dactylifera (date palm)
Lineage: Eukaryota; Viridiplantae; Streptophyta; Magnoliopsida; Arecales; Arecaceae
Description: long non-coding RNA (PDAC_LNC013299)
Source: RNAcentral